This 22-nucleotide microRNA is filed under the name Callorhinchus milii (elephant shark). RNAcentral describes it as "Cmi-Mir-150_5p (mature (guide))". Lineage: Eukaryota; Metazoa; Chordata; Chondrichthyes; Chimaeriformes; Callorhinchidae. RNAcentral also lists the same sequence under 30 other names. The record is from RNAcentral.
UCUCCCAACCCUUGUACCAGUG